Molecule: ribosomal RNA, 376 nt
Filed under: uncultured bacterium
Lineage: Bacteria
Description: bacterial SSU rRNA
Rfam family: Bacterial small subunit ribosomal RNA
Source: RNAcentral
UACGUAGGGUGCGAGCGUUAAUCGGAAUUACUGGGCGUAAAGCGUGCGCAGGCGGUGAUGUAAGACAGAUGUGAAAUCCCCGGGCUCAACCUGGGAACUGCGUUUGUGACUGCAUCACUCGAGUACGGCAGAGGGAGGUGGAAUUCCGCGUGUAGCAGUGAAAUGCGUAGAUAUGCGGAGGAACACCGAUGGCGAAGGCAGCCUCCUGGGCCAGUACUGACGCUCAUGCACGAAAGCGUGGGGAGCAAACAGGAUUAGAUACCCUGGUAGUCCACGCCCUAAACGAUGUCAACUAGUUGUUCGGUGAGGAGACUCAUUGAGUAACGCAGCUAACGCGUGAAGUUGACCGCCUGGGGAGUACGGCCGCAAGGUUAAA